UACGUAUGGUGCAAGCGUUAUCCGGAUUUACUGGGUGUAAAGGGAGCGUAGGCGGCGCGUUAAGUCUGAUGUGAAAAUCCGAGGCUCAACCACGGGAGUGCAUUGGAAACUGGCGUGCUGGAGUGCCGGAGAGGUAAGCGGAAUUCCUAGUGUAGCGGUGAAAUGCGUAGAUAUUAGGAGGAACACCAGUGGCGAAGGCGGCUUACUGGACGGCAACUGACGCUGAGGCUCGAAAGCGUGGGGAGCAAACAGG
This 253-nucleotide ribosomal RNA is filed under the name uncultured bacterium. RNAcentral's name for it is "partial 16S ribosomal RNA". It matches the Rfam family "Bacterial small subunit ribosomal RNA", at positions 524 to 776 of the family's 1533-position model. The record is from RNAcentral.